This 863-nucleotide long non-coding RNA is filed under the name Strongylocentrotus purpuratus (purple sea urchin). RNAcentral describes it as "uncharacterized LOC115923461". The record is from RNAcentral. Lineage: Eukaryota; Metazoa; Echinodermata; Echinoidea; Camarodonta; Strongylocentrotidae.
AAUUUUUCUAUCUGUGAUGGAAGUUUUUAUGUACGAUUGCCUGAUCUGAAGACAAGACUUUCGCUGCAUGCAUAUUUAAUGUAUGACGUCACCCACACAGAGUGAGAGCUCGAGGUUUUCUUUGAAAGUUUGAUGGAAAAUGUACAGAGACUUGUUGCAGUUAAUGCAGUACCAAAUGCUUGCUUUCUUGGAGUAUGUGCUUGAAACAAGAAUGUCCUGGAGAAAAUAGACCACCACAAGAGAAGGGAUUGAGAAGGAGGGCUUCCUGUUGACAGAUCAGGGGGUGCCUUGAGGUUCCACUCUUGAUGUUCUGCCCCUUACCUGAAAGCGAUGGCCUCUUGUACCUGACAUAUUAGGAGCAAAGCACAAUGGACUGCUGGCUUAUUGGAAUUGGUUACAAAGAUACAAGUGGACUUGUCUGUAGUAGUUGCUGAAGAGGAGCAGUCAGCACAAGGAGCGUGUGCCUCCAAAACAACGUGGAAACUUCUCCCAAGUUCAUCUCAAAUCACAAGGCUCUUCAGGAAUCAAGAUGUAACAAUGGAGGUUGAGAAGGAGUUUGCGACCCUCCUGAUUUGGACUACUCGCUAUAUACAUUCUCAAACAAUGGAUUGUAGUACUUCUGCACAAAAGUCAACAAGUCAUGAUUGAGGAAAAUGCAACAAAUACUCAGUUGAGCAUUGAUUUAUGUGACUGGUAUUAGGGUAGGAUUCAGCUUGGUAAUUUUAUAUAAACUAUGUCCCAAAAGAACCUCAUUGGUCCUUAUGGUUCCACGCCACAAGCUGCUCCCUCCCCUGUUUCGGUAUACCGAACCCAGACUAUCAAGGGAUCAAAUGAAUUAAAAUCCACACUUGAUUACAAAUGAA